This 440-nucleotide ribosomal RNA is filed under the name uncultured bacterium. Its description in RNAcentral is "partial 16S ribosomal RNA". It matches the Rfam family "Bacterial small subunit ribosomal RNA", at positions 338 to 795 of the family's 1533-position model. The record is from RNAcentral.
CCUACGGGAGGCAGCAGUGGGGAAUAUUGCACAAUGGGGGAAACCCUGAUGCAGCGACGCCGCGUGAGUGAAGAAGUAAUUCGUUAUGUAAAGCUCUAUCAGCAGGGAAGUAAAUGACGGUACCUGAGUAAGAAGCCCCGGCUAACUACGUGCCAGCAGCCGCGGUAAUACGGAGGGUGCAAGCGUUAUCCGGAUUUACUGGGUGUAAAGGGAGCGUAGACGGGAGUGCAAGUCUGGAGUGAAAGGCGGGGGCUCAACCGCCGGAUUGCAAUUGAAACUGUAAGGCUGGAGUACAGGAGAGGUAAGUGGAAUUCCUAGUGUAGCGGUGAAAUGCGUAGAUAUUACGAAGAACACCAGUGGCGAAGGCAGCUUACUGGACUGUAACUGACGUUGAGGCUCGAAAGUGUGGGGAGCAAACAGGAUUAGAUACCCCAGUAGUC